This 253-nucleotide ribosomal RNA is filed under the name uncultured bacterium. RNAcentral describes it as "partial 16S ribosomal RNA". It matches the Rfam family "Bacterial small subunit ribosomal RNA", at positions 524 to 776 of the family's 1533-position model. The record is from RNAcentral.
UACGUAGGGUGCAAGCGUUGUCCGGAAUUAUUGGGCGUAAAGAGCUCGUAGGCGGUUUGUCGCGUCUGCUGUGAAAACCCGAGGCUCAACCUCGGGCCUGCAGUGGGUACGGGCAGACUAGAGUGCGGUAGGGGAGAUUGGAAUUCCUGGUGUAGCGGUGGAAUGCGCAGAUAUCAGGAGGAACACCGGUGGCGAAGGCGGGUCUCUGGGCCGUAACUGACGCUGAGGAGCGAAAGCAUGGGUAGCGAACAGG